CCUACGGGAGGCAGCAGUAGGGAAUAUUGCUCAAUGGGGGAAACCCUGAAGCAGCAACGCCGCGUGGAGGAUGAAGGUUUUCGGAUUGGAAACUCCUUUUGUUAGAGAAGAUAAUGACGGUAUCUAACGAAUAAGCACCGGCUAACUCCGUGCCAGCCGCCGCGGUAAUACGGAGGGUGCAAGCGUUACUCGGAAUCACUGGGCGUAAAGAGCGCGUAGGCGGGAUAGAAAGUCAGACGUGAAAUCCUAUGGCUUAACCAUAGAACUGCAUUUGAAACUGUUAUUCUAGAGUAUGGGAGAGGUAGGUGGAAUUCUUGGUGUAGGGGUAAAAUGCGUAGAGAUCAAGAGGAAUACUCAUUGCGAAGGCGACCUGCUAGUACAUAACUGACGCUGAGGCGCAAAAGCGUGGGGAUCAAACAGGAUUAGAUACCCGGGUAGUC
This 440-nucleotide ribosomal RNA is filed under the name uncultured bacterium. RNAcentral describes it as "partial 16S ribosomal RNA". It matches the Rfam family "Bacterial small subunit ribosomal RNA", at positions 338 to 795 of the family's 1533-position model. The record is from RNAcentral.